AACGCACAUUGCGCCCCUUGGUAUUCCAUGGGGCAUGCCUGUUCGAGCGUCAUUUGUACCCUCAAGCUCUGCUUGGUGUUGGGUGUUUGUCCCGCUUUUCGCGUGGACUCGCCUUAAAACAAUUGGCAGCCAGCAUAUUGGCCUGGAGCGCAGCACAUUUUGCGCCUCUUGUCAUGAUUGUUGGCAUCCAUCAAGACUAUUUUUUACUCUUGACCUCGGAUCAGGUAGGGAUACCCGCUGAACUUAA
Molecule: unclassified non-coding RNA, 247 nt
Filed under: uncultured Acicuseptoria
Lineage: Eukaryota; Fungi; Ascomycota; Dothideomycetes; Pleosporales; Leptosphaeriaceae
Description: sequence contains ITS2
Source: RNAcentral